UAGGGAAUCUUCCACAAUGGGCGCAAGCCUGAUGGAGCAACGCCGCGUGUGUGAUGAAGGGUUUCGGCUCGUAAAGCACUGUUGUAAGAGAAGAAUGUACUUGAGAGUAACUGUUCAAGUAGUGACGGUAUCUUACCAGAAAGGGACGGCUAAAUACGUG
Molecule: ribosomal RNA, 160 nt
Filed under: uncultured bacterium
Lineage: Bacteria
Description: partial 16S rRNA
Rfam family: Bacterial small subunit ribosomal RNA
Source: RNAcentral